CAAAAUGUGGCUAAAAAGUACAGCAUCUCCCUUACACAGAGGAAAUACCCAUGCAAAUUGGGUCAUUUUGA
Molecule: non-coding RNA, 71 nt
Organism: Callorhinchus milii (elephant shark)
Lineage: Eukaryota; Metazoa; Chordata; Chondrichthyes; Chimaeriformes; Callorhinchidae
Source: Ensembl